RNAcentral lists this ribosomal RNA (1959 nucleotides) under Triticum aestivum (bread wheat). RNAcentral describes it as "partial small subunit ribosomal RNA". Lineage: Eukaryota; Viridiplantae; Streptophyta; Magnoliopsida; Poales; Poaceae. The record is from RNAcentral.
AUGCCCAUGGUGAGGAAGCAUGGAUGGCAACUCCCAGCACACACAUUCCAGAUCGUCGCAAUUACUGUUUUCUUCCUUCUGGUGGUUGCAUUUUAUGCCUUCUUUGCACCGUUUUUGGGAAAGCAAAUCCUUGAGUAUGUCGCAGUGGGUAUCUACACUCCUGUGGCAUUCGCUGUCUUCAUCCUUUAUAUCCGGUGCACUAGUAUAAACCCUGCAGAUCCUGGGAUCAUGUCAAAGUUUGACGAUGGCCAUGUCAAUGCACCAGAAAGUAAUACUGCCUUGCAGGGCACCAAUUUGCCUGCAAAAACUGGCAUUGCUACUGGAACCAACUCCCCAACAUCUACUUGUAGAAGCUCUCUAGAUGGGCGUACUAACCAUGGAGGUUUGGCUGCUGGAGAUACAGAUAUAAAUAUUAGAAUGCAACCACUAAGAAGAAGAUCAGGGUGCUACUUCGGAGGCUUUAUUUGUGCUUUGUUUGUCAAGGAGGAUUGCAGGAAAUCUGAUGAUUCAGAGAAUCAAGUUGAUGCAGAAGAUGCACUGUUUUGCACAUUAUGUAAUGCUGAGGUUCGCAAAUUCAGUAAACACUGCAGAAGUUGUGACAAGUGUGUGGAUGGAUUUGAUCAUCACUGCCGGUGGCUAAAUAACUGUGUUGGACGCAAGAACUAUUUCACAUUUUUUGCUCUGAUGACUACUAGUCUCCUCUGGCUUGCUAUUGAAGUUGGAGUAGGCAUUGCUGUUCUUGUUAUGUGCUUCGCCAACACGAAUGCAGAAAAAAUUAUUCAAGACAAGCUUGGGAAUGGAUUAACUCGUCUUCCGUUUGCAACUAUCGUAGGAAUAUUUACUCUUCUUUCUCUAGUUGCCUGCGUACCUUUGGGAGAACUCUUCUUCUUCCACAUGCUAUUGAUCAGAAAGGGGAUCACCACUUAUGAAUACGUUGUAGCAAUGAGAGCUAUGAGUGAAGUGCCUCAAGAUGAAGAGGAAGAUGAGAGAGCAAACAUUAUUUACUCCCCGACAAAUUCAGCAACUAGUGGGUUCAGCGGCGGAAGUUCACUUGGUCUUCACUACAAGGGUGCAUGGUGCACACCCCCAAGGAUUUUCGUGGAUCAGGAUGAAGUUAUCCCACAUUUGGAGCGUGGCAUGGCACCAUCUACCGUCGACCCUGAUGCCACUGGAUAUGCUGAAAGACCAAACAAAGCCAAGAGGCAAGUCAAAAUCAGUGCCUGGAAACUUGCAAAGCUGGACGGCAAUGAGGCGAUGAAAGCUGCUGCAAGAGCUCGGGCAUCAUCCUCCGUCCUCCGGCCCAUAGGUGCGCGCGGCCCUGGCUCCACUGGCAACUCGCAUCCUCAGAGUAUUGCGAGCCAGGAUGAGUACGAGACCGGCACGCAGAGUGCUAGCAGUUUGAGCAGCCCAGUCCACAUCCACAAGCUUGCACCUCGCACCCAGAUGAAUGUGCCGCCGCCUCGACCGCCGGAGAGGUCUGGUGUUCCGACCACGCAGGCAACCAACCCAAUAAUGUUCCGGCCAGCAACAUCCUACGCUCGCGAGAACCGAAGAGCGUCGGUUGUUUGGGAUCAAGAUGCUGGUCGGUAUGUGUCGGUGGCAUCUGCACCUGCAAGACCAGUGGGAGCUGCUGCUGGUUCUUCUGCUGCCCAGCCUGUUAGAGCGCCGCGUUUCUUGGAAAACCCAGGUGGUGGCAGAAAUCUUGCGCCAAUGAGUGCCUCUUCCUCGACAUUGCCAUCUGGGCAGCCGUCUGAGAGACUGGCCUACUCUGGACAGUCGAUAUUCUUGGGGGGGCCUGUUCUGGGCGCUGCUGCUGAAUCUGGAAGGAAUGAGGGCAACACAAGUGCACGGCCGGCUGACAGGAAGGAGCUCAACGCCGAUCAGCACCAUGAAAGGGGGCCAACGGCCGAGUCUUUCCCGGCGGGAACAUUUCAAAAGAAACCACCAUUCAACAGGUGA